RNAcentral lists this ribosomal RNA (492 nucleotides) under uncultured bacterium. RNAcentral describes it as "partial 16S ribosomal RNA". It matches the Rfam family "Bacterial small subunit ribosomal RNA", at positions 29 to 507 of the family's 1533-position model. The record is from RNAcentral.
AGUGAACGCUGGCGGUAGGCCUAACACAUGCAAGUCGAACGGCAGCACAGUAAGAGCUUGCUCUUACGGGUGGCGAGUGGCGGACGGGUGAGGAAUACAUCGGAAUCUACUUUUUCGUGGGGGAUAACGUAGGGAAACUUACGCUAAUACCGCAUACGACCUACGGGUGAAAGCAGUGGAUCUUCGGACCUUGCGCGAUUGACUGAGCCGAUGUCGGAUUAGCUAGUUGGCGGGGUAAAGGCCCACCAAGGCGACGAUCCGUAGCUGGUCUGAGAGGAUGAUCAGCCACACUGGAACUGAGACACGGUCCAGACUCCUACGGGAGGCAGCAGUGGGGAAUAUUGGACAAUGGGCGCAAGCCUGAUCCAGCCAUACCGCGUGGGUGAAGAAGGCCUUCGGGUUGUAAAGCCCUUUUGUUGGGAAAGAAAAGCAGCAGGUUAAUACCCCGCUGUUCUGACGGUACCCAAAGAAUAAGCACCGGCUAACUUCGUG